Molecule: microRNA precursor, 71 nt
Filed under: Medicago truncatula (barrel medic)
Lineage: Eukaryota; Viridiplantae; Streptophyta; Magnoliopsida; Fabales; Fabaceae
Description: MIR2629 microRNA precursor family
Rfam family: MIR2629 microRNA precursor family
Source: Rfam by way of RNAcentral
UACCGAAGUUUUCCUCGGUAGUUAACUGCAGCCGUUUUUUCAAACUUCGGCAGUUAAUUGCCGAAGGACAU